GUGGGAGGGGGCUUGCCCCCGAUAGCUGAGUGUCAGUCAAUGAUGUUGUGAUUGACCCACCGCCAUCGGGGGCAAGCCCCCUCCCAC
RNAcentral lists this unclassified non-coding RNA (87 nucleotides) under Pseudomonas synxantha. The record is from RNAcentral. Lineage: Bacteria; Pseudomonadati; Pseudomonadota; Gammaproteobacteria; Pseudomonadales; Pseudomonadaceae.